AUAAAACCCAAUCAUACACAGAAUCAUUCAUACUGUCUGAUGUGAAAAACAUCAUGGGAUCAGUUCUUGCUAGACUUCAUCGCCAAGACAACACGAAGCUCAAUGCUUUCCUGAAAAACACUUCCAAGAUGAC
Long non-coding RNA from Acanthochromis polyacanthus (spiny chromis), 133 nucleotides. RefSeq lists it as uncharacterized. NCBI's taxonomy places the organism in Eukaryota, Metazoa, Chordata, Actinopteri, Pomacentridae. The record is from RefSeq and is a predicted model, not a curated record. The transcript is spliced from 3 exons.